This 180-nucleotide ribosomal RNA is filed under the name uncultured bacterium. Its description in RNAcentral is "partial 16S ribosomal RNA". It matches the Rfam family "Bacterial small subunit ribosomal RNA", at positions 1320 to 1500 of the family's 1533-position model. The record is from RNAcentral.
AUGAAGUCGGAAUUGCUAGUAAUCGCAGAUCAGCAUGCUGCGGUGAAUACGUUCCCGGGCCUUGUACACACCGCCCGUCACACCAUGGGAGUCGGUAAUACCCGAAGUCAGUAGUCCAACCUCGUGAGGACGCUGCCGAAGGUAGGAUUGGCGACUGGGGUGAAGUCGUAACAAGGUACC